UAAGGAAUAUUGGACAAUGGAGGCAACUCUGAUCCAGCCAUGCCGCGUGAAGGAAUAAGGCCCUAUGGGUUGUAAACUUCUUUUAGACGGGACAAAACCCCUUUACGUGUAAAGGGUUGAUGGUACUGUCAGAAUAAGCAUCGGCUAACUUCGUGCCAGCAGCCGCGGUAAUACGAAGGAUGCAAGCGUUAUCCGGAAUUAUUGGGUUUGAAGGGUGCGUAGGCGGACUAAUAAGUCAGUGGUGAAAGCCUGCAGCUUAACUGCAGAAGUGCCAUUGAUACUGUUAGUCUUGAGUACAGUUGAGGUAGGCGGAAUGUGUCAUGUAGCGGUGAAAUGCUUAGAUAUGACACAGAACACCGAUUGCGAAGGCAGCUUGCUAAGCUGUAACUGACGCUGAGGCACGAAAGCGUGGGGAGCAAACA
Molecule: ribosomal RNA, 422 nt
Filed under: uncultured bacterium
Lineage: Bacteria
Description: bacterial SSU rRNA
Rfam family: Bacterial small subunit ribosomal RNA
Source: RNAcentral